This 392-nucleotide ribosomal RNA is filed under the name uncultured Paraphysomonas. RNAcentral describes it as "partial small subunit ribosomal RNA". It matches the Rfam family "Eukaryotic small subunit ribosomal RNA", at positions 30 to 432 of the family's 1831-position model. Lineage: Eukaryota; Chrysophyceae; Chromulinales. The record is from RNAcentral.
GCUUGUCUCAAAGAUUAAGCCAUGCAUGUCUAAGUAUAAACAAAUCUAUACUGUGAAACUGCGAAUGGCUCAUUAUAUCAGUUAUAGUUUAUUUGAUGGUUCUUGCUACUUGGAUAACCGUAGUAAUUCUAGAGCUAAUACAUGCAUCAAACCUCGACUUUUUUGGAAGAGGUGUAUUUAUUAGAUGGAAACCAAUGCGGGGCAACCCGGAAUAUGGUGAAUCAUAAUAACUGUCGUAUCGAGCAAUCGAAGCGCCAUACAAGUUUCUGCCCUAUCAGCUUUGGAUGGUAGGGUAUUGGCCUACCAUGGCUUUAACGGGUAACGGAGAAUUAGGGUUCGAUUCCGGAGAGGGAGCCUGAGAAACGGCUACCACAUCCAAGGAAGGCAGCAGG